GCAUAAGCGCACGGGGACGCAUGUUUCUGUGUGAAAAACUCCGGUAGUAUAAGAUGAGCCCGCGUCUGAUUAGCUGGUUGGUGGGGUAACGGCCUACCAAGGCGACGAUCAGUAGCCGGCCUGAGAGGGUGAACGGCCACAUUGGGACUGAGACACGGCCCAAACUCCUACGGGAGGCAGCAGUGGGGAAUAUUGGACAAUGGGGGGAACCCUGAUCCAGCGACGCCGCGUGAGUGAAGAAGUAUUUCGGUAUGUAAAGCUCUAUCAGCAGGGAAGAAAGAAAUGACGGUACCUGACUAAGAAGCCCCGGCUAACUACGUGCCAGCAGCCGCGGUAAUACGUAGGGGGCAAGCGUUAUCCGGAUUUACUGGGUGUAAAGGGAGCGUAGACGGCGAUGCAAGUCUGAAGUGAAAGGCGGGGGCCCAACCCCCGGACUGCUUUGGAAACUGUAUGGCUGGAGUGCAGGAGAGGUAAGUGGAAUUCCUAGUGUAGCGGUGAAAUGCGUAGAUAUUAGGAGGAACACCAGUGGCGAAGGCGGCUUACUGGACUGUAACUGACGUUGAGGCUCGAAAGCGUGGGGAGCAAACAGGAUUAGAUACCCUGGUAGUCCACGCCGUAAACGAUGAUUACUAGGUGU
RNAcentral lists this ribosomal RNA (637 nucleotides) under uncultured bacterium. RNAcentral's name for it is "bacterial SSU rRNA". It matches the Rfam family "Bacterial small subunit ribosomal RNA", at positions 171 to 823 of the family's 1533-position model. The record is from RNAcentral.